Molecule: ribosomal RNA, 188 nt
Filed under: uncultured bacterium
Lineage: Bacteria
Description: partial 16S ribosomal RNA
Rfam family: Bacterial small subunit ribosomal RNA
Source: RNAcentral
GCCUUCAUGAAGCCGGAAUUGCUAGUAAUGGCAGGUCAGCAUACUGCCGUGAAUACGGUUCCCGGGCCUUGUACACACCGCCCGUCACACCAUGAGAGUCGGGAACACCCGAAGUCCGUAGCCUAACCGCAAGGGGGGCGCGGCCGAAGGUGGGUUCGAUAAUUGGGGUGAAGUCGUAACAAGGUAAC